RNAcentral lists this transfer RNA (67 nucleotides) under Oryctolagus cuniculus (rabbit). It matches the Rfam family "tRNA". Rfam says of the family: Transfer RNA (tRNA) molecules are approximately 80 nucleotides in length. Their secondary structure includes four short double-helical elements and three loops (D, anti-codon, and T loops). Further hydrogen bonds mediate the characteristic L-shaped molecular structure. tRNAs have two regions of fundamental functional importance: the anti-codon, which is responsible for specific mRNA codon recognition, and the 3' end, to which the tRNAs corresponding amino acid is attached (by aminoacyl-tRNA synthetases). tRNAs cope with the degeneracy of the genetic code in two manners: having more than one tRNA (with a specific anti-codon) for a particular amino acid; and 'wobble' base-pairing, i.e. permitting non-standard base-pairing at the 3rd anti-codon position. The record is from Rfam by way of RNAcentral. Lineage: Eukaryota; Metazoa; Chordata; Mammalia; Lagomorpha; Leporidae.
GUUAAUGUAGCUUAACAAUAAAGCAAACCACUGAAAAUGCUUAGAUGCGCUUUUAGCUCCAUAAACA